UGAGGAAUAUUGGUCAAUGGCCGAGAGGCUGAACCAGCCAAGUCGCGUGAGGGAAGAAUGUCCUAAGGAUUGUAAACCUCUUUUGUCGGGGAGCAAAAAAGGCUCUGCGGAGUCGUAUUGAGAGUACCCGAAGAAAAAGCAUCGGCUAACUCCGUGCC
This 158-nucleotide ribosomal RNA is filed under the name uncultured bacterium. Its description in RNAcentral is "partial 16S ribosomal RNA". It matches the Rfam family "Bacterial small subunit ribosomal RNA", at positions 355 to 509 of the family's 1533-position model. The record is from RNAcentral.